Molecule: ribosomal RNA, 144 nt
Filed under: Mesorhizobium sp.
Lineage: Bacteria; Pseudomonadati; Pseudomonadota; Alphaproteobacteria; Hyphomicrobiales; Phyllobacteriaceae
Description: partial 16S ribosomal RNA
Rfam family: Bacterial small subunit ribosomal RNA
Source: RNAcentral
UUGAACUGAAGAGUUUGAUCAUGGCUCAGAUUGAACGCUGGCGGCAGGCCUAACACAUGCAAGUCGAGCGGUAGAGAGGUGCUUGCACCUCUUGAGAGCGGCGGACGGGUGAGUAAUGCCUAGGAAUCUGCCUGGUAGUGGGGG